This 465-nucleotide long non-coding RNA is filed under the name Phasianus colchicus (ring-necked pheasant). RNAcentral describes it as "lncRNA (ENSPCLG00000012307.1)". Lineage: Eukaryota; Metazoa; Chordata; Aves; Galliformes; Phasianidae. The record is from RNAcentral.
UAUGAUUCUGUGAUUCCACAAUUCCACACAGAACAGGGCAGGACAAGUACCUCUGCCCUCUGUAGCCACCCCCUGCAGGACCCAGACCUCUUGAAGGAGUCAGGGUGAUCUCUUGCUGGUAGAAGGCCAGCUCUGACCACAGAACUGUGAGCUGGAAAAGGACAUGCUUGUUUUUCAGAUGAUUCUGUGGGAGCUUCUCCUGAGGAAUGCAUUUCUGAACAAAAAAGUGGUUUUACUGAAUUAAUAAUAGAUGGGCUCAAGCUGCAGGAGUUGAAGCUUGAUUUCUACAUGGAUACAGACUCAGGUUUGGUGCAUGUCUAAAGGGUCUUGUUAUCACAGUAUCAGACCACUUCCUAUGCUAGAAUAUUGUGAUCCUUAUGACAUCCCUGCAGCAGGACGUGGAGACCUCAGGCACCAGGAGCAGAGUGAGUGCCCCAUCCCUGGAGGUGCCCAAGGCCAGGUUGG